Molecule: ribosomal RNA, 1666 nt
Filed under: Acinetobacter baumannii 1036938
Lineage: Bacteria; Pseudomonadati; Pseudomonadota; Gammaproteobacteria; Moraxellales; Moraxellaceae
Description: bacterial LSU rRNA
Rfam family: Bacterial large subunit ribosomal RNA
Source: RNAcentral
UUAUCAGAAGUGCGAAUGCUGACGUGAGUAACGACAAAACGGGUGAAAAACCCGUUCGCCGAAAGACCAAGGGUUCCAGUCCAACGUUAAUCGGGGCUGGGUGAGUCGACCCCUAAGGCGAGGCCGAAAGGCGUAGUCGAUGGGAAAAUGGUUAAUAUUCCAUUACUUCUGUGUAAUGCGAUGAGAGGACGGAGAAGGCUAAAUCAGCCUGGCGUUGGUUGUCCAGGUGAAAGGAUGUAGGCAUGUAUCUUAGGCAAAUCCGGGGUACUCUAUGCUGAGAUCUGAUAGCAAGCUGUACUUGUACAGCGAAGUGGUUGAUGCCAUGCUUCCAGGAAAAGUCUCUAAGCUUCAGUUACACAGGAAUCGUACCCGAAACCGACACAGGUGGUCAGGUCGAGUAGACCAAGGCGCUUGAGAGAACUCUGCUGAAGGAACUAGGCAAAAUGGUACCGUAACUUCGGGAGAAGGUACGCUGUUGUUGGUGAUGGAACUCGCUUCCUGAGCUGACGACAGCCGCAGAAACCAGGCCGCUGCAACUGUUUAUUAAAAACAUAGCACUCUGCAAACACGAAAGUGGACGUAUAGGGUGUGAUGCCUGCCCGGUGCUGGAAGGUUAAUUGAUGGGGUUAGCGUAAGCGAAGCUCUUGAUCGAAGCCCCAGUAAACGGCGGCCGUAACUAUAACGGUCCUAAGGUAGCGAAAUUCCUUGUCGGGUAAGUUCCGACCUGCACGAAUGGCAUAAUGAUGGCGGCGCUGUCUCCAGCAGAGGCUCAGUGAAAUCGAAAUCGCUGUGAAGAUGCAGUGUACCCGCGGCUAGACGGAAAGACCCCGUGAACCUUUACUGCAGCUUGACACUGAACUUUGACCUUACUUGUGUAGGAUAGGUGGGAGGCUUUGAAGCUGGAACGCUAGUUCCAGUGGAGCCGUCCUUGAAAUACCACCCUGGUAAUGUUGAGGUUCUAACUCUGUCCCGUGAUCCGGGACGAGGACCGUGUCUGGUGGGUAGUUUGACUGGGGCGGUCUCCUCCUAAAGAGUAACGGAGGAGUACGAAGGUGCGCUCAGCGUGGUCGGAAAUCACGCGUAGAGUAUAAAGGCAAAAGCGCGCUUAACUGCGAGACCCACAAGUCGAGCAGGUACGAAAGUAGGUCUUAGUGAUCCGGUGGUUCUGUAUGGAAGGGCCAUCGCUCAACGGAUAAAAGGUACUCUGGGGAUAACAGGCUGAUACCGCCCAAGAGUUCAUAUCGACGGCGGUGUUUGGCACCUCGAUGUCGGCUCAUCUCAUCCUGGGGCUGAAGCAGGUCCCAAGGGUAUGGCUGUUCGCCAUUUAAAGAGGUACGCGAGCUGGGUUUAGAACGUCGUGAGACAGUUCGGUCCCUAUCUACCGUGGGCGCUGGAAAUUUGAGAGGAUCUGCUCCUAGUACGAGAGGACCAGAGUGGACGAACCUCUGGUGUACCGGUUGUGACGCCAGUCGCAUCGCCGGGUAGCUAUGUUCGGAAGGGAUAACCGCUGAAAGCAUCUAAGCGGGAAGCCUACCUCAAGAUAAGAUUUCCCUAGGACUUUAUGUCCUCUAAAGAGCCGUUCGAGACUAGGACGUUGAUAGGUUGGAUGUGGAAGCAUAGUGAUAUGUGAAGCUGACCAAUACUAAUUGCUCGUGAGGCUUGACUA